UUUUGACGCCAUUACCGGAGACUAAUUCAAGCUACCAUUGAAUUCGAUAAGAAAUCUCUUCUAAGAUACUAAGAAACUUUCGUUUAUAAUUUUUAUUUUUUCUGUUUUUCGAUAAUUUAUGUUUCCCUUUUAGUUUCUGUUUUUGGUAUUUCAGUGCAUGAGUAGGAGUCAAAACCAAGGACGGGUACCUCCAUACCAAGACAUUGAUAGACUUGAACUUGAUAUCAAAAAACUUCGAAGACAACUACUCAUUGCCGAUCAAAGGAACCAAUACCAAGGUGAACUUGAUGAUCCACAACAACGUGUCCUACGAACUUGCUGAAGAACAACUCGACCAUCUUGUUGGCCGAGGUCAACAACAACCUCAAUGUUCCUCCUCUACAGCCUUCUCAUGUUGCUAGUCCCCAACAUCCUUCUCAUGUCGCUAGUGCCCAACAUCCUCUUAAUGUUGCUGCAAGACAAGCUGCUUAUGUACACCUUCUGAGCAUAUUUAAAGGA
Molecule: long non-coding RNA, 498 nt
Filed under: Arabidopsis lyrata
Lineage: Eukaryota; Viridiplantae; Streptophyta; Magnoliopsida; Brassicales; Brassicaceae
Description: long non-coding RNA (ALYR_LNC002691)
Source: RNAcentral